This 1173-nucleotide ribosomal RNA is filed under the name uncultured Nitrosospira sp. RNAcentral describes it as "bacterial SSU rRNA". It matches the Rfam family "Bacterial small subunit ribosomal RNA", at positions 137 to 1306 of the family's 1533-position model. Lineage: Bacteria; Pseudomonadati; Pseudomonadota; Betaproteobacteria; Nitrosomonadales; Nitrosomonadaceae. The record is from RNAcentral.
UGGGGGAUAACGCAUCGAAAGAUGCGCUAAUACCGCAUAAUCUCUAAGGAGAAAAGCAGGGGAUCGCAAGACCUUGCGCUUUUGGAGCGGCCGAUGUCUGAUUAGCUAGUUGGUGAGGUAAAGGCUUACCAAGGCUUCGAUCAGUAGCUGGUCUGAGAGGACGACCAGCCACACUGGGACUGAGACACGGCCCAGACUCCUACGGGAGGCAGCAGUGGGGAAUUUUGGACGAUGGGGGCAACCCUGAUCCAGCCAUGCCGCGUGAGUGAAGAAGGCCUUCGGGUUGUAAAGCUCUUUCAGCCGGAACGAAAAGGUUACGGUUAAUACCCGUGACUAAUGACGGUACCGGAAGAAGAAGCACCGGCUAACUACGUGCCAGCAGCCGCGGUAAUACGUAGGGUGCGAGCGUUAAUCGGAAUUACUGGGCGUAAAGCGUGCGCAGGCGGUUUUGUAAGUCAGAUGUGAAAUCCCCGGGCUUAACCUGGGAACUGCGUUUGAAACUACAAGGCUAGAGUGUGGCAGAGGGGGGUGGAAUUCCACGUGUAGCAGUGAAAUGCGUAGAGAUGUGGAGGAACACCGAUGGCGAAGGCAGCCCCCUGGGUUAACACUGACGCUCAGGCACGAAAGCGUGGGGAGCAAACAGGAUUAGAUACCCUAGUAGUCCACGCCCUAAACGAUGUCAACUAGUUGUCGGGUCUUAACGGGCUUGGUAACGCAGCUAACGCGUGAAGUUGACCGCCUGGGGAGUACGGUCGCAAGAUUAAAACUCAAAGGAAUUGACGGGGACCCGCACAAGCGGAGGAUUAUGUGGAUUAAUUCGAUGCAACGCGAAAAACCUUACCUACCCUUGACAUGUACCGAAGCCCGCCGAGAGGUGGGCGUGCCCGAAAGGGAACGGUAACACAGGUGCUGCAUGGCUGUCGUCAGCUCGUGUCGUGAGAUGUUGGGUUAAGUCCCGCAACGAGCGCAACCCUUGUCAUUAAUUGCCAUCAUUCAGUUGGGCACCUUAAUGAAACUGCCGGUGACAAACCGGAGGAAGGUGGGGAUGACGUCAAGUCCUCAUGGCCCUUAUGGGUAGGGCUUCACACGUAAUACAAUGGCGCGUACAGAGGGUUGCCAACCCGCGAGGGGGAGCUAAUCUCAGAAAGCGCGUCGUAGUCCGGAUCGGAGUCU